Long non-coding RNA from Mytilus californianus (California mussel), 808 nucleotides. RefSeq lists it as uncharacterized. The transcript is spliced from 3 exons. Lineage: Eukaryota; Metazoa; Mollusca; Bivalvia; Mytilida; Mytilidae. The record is from RefSeq and is a predicted model, not a curated record.
CAAAUGAACCAGGGAAUUCACAAGAUAAACUUAUUAUAAGUUUCAAAAGUGGUUAAUAGAAUAUUACAAUCGAUAUAGUUUACAAAAUCUGCAUAGCGACAAAUCCGGAAAACAUACGUUCUCUCUGUUUACGUUUUUCUACUUAUUUUAAUUGUAUAUCACGUGGUAUAGAUGUUUAUUAUGUAUCUCGAACACGUUUAUUUUAUUCAUUCUUGUGUGUUGGAAUAUUCUUAACUUAUUUGUUGACUUGUAUUUACAAUACAUUACAGUUAUGUCCCUUACUUCAGAUUUGAAGAUAUCCCAAAUAUCUCUAGAAUCUGUGAUUUUUUAGAGUGGCAAUCACCAUAGAUGUGGAAGUAGCUUGUACAAAAAAUACAUGAACUAUAUAGAAGGAACUAAUUUUCAGUUUUUGGGUACCUAAGGCAAUAGUGGUGUUUUUAAUAUGCCAAUCUUUGAAAUUGAUACUAAUUGUGUCCAGGUGAACUAAGUGAGAUAAUGUACAUGUAUAUGGCCGAUCUUGUUCAGUUUUAAAGUUAUUCCUGGUACAUGUAUGUGAGGAAUUGAGACAUUUAUUAACAUGGAUUUUAUAUUUCAAGGAAGUGAUUUCAUCAACUAAGUGAUGUGGAACGCAGCUACAGUUAAUCAAUUUACCAAUCAUACUGGAACCAUUCAGAUUGGGAUUUACACGUGUUUUGAAUUGAUUCUUGGUUAAUAAAAAGAUGAUAAUAACUUUCAAUGGAUCAACUAUUUGAUCAUGUUCAUUUGUUUUUAUGAUAAUCAUAAUAAAAUAUUUCAUAUCAACAUUUAA